Molecule: non-coding RNA, 79 nt
Filed under: unclassified sequences
Source: RNAcentral
AGAUGGCUUCGGCCAUCUAAUCUUCUCUUUUUUAACCCAGCCAGAGACGGUCACAAGCCCGUGAAAUGGGGAGUGGAAA